AUGUGCCCACUUGCAGCCUCCUGGGUCAGACAGCUCCUUGUGAAGUCUUCCGAGUGUCUGGGGGAGCCCGGGACGGAACCUUCUUCCCUGGUCUCCAGCUCAGCUUGGUCAGCCUGCACACACAAAUACACAGUAAGGACAUCUGUGGCCAGCCUUGGGCUUUCACCAAGGUGCUACCUGAAUGUUUGGGGUCACAGCUGAUCUGCUUUCAUUGAGCUCUACGCGAAGAUGGGGAAGAACAAACGGAAGGGAAACAGCUUCUCCAUGAACUACAGUCAUUUUUCACAAUGUCUAUUUGCAUCCUUCCUGAAUUUAGUUUUCAAAAGAAACUAAUGAGUGAAAACAUGAAAUCCGGAGGACAUUACAUACGUGUGGAACACCCUGUUAUUUACAAACUGCUUUCCAUGUAUUUCACCAAUUGACAAAGGGGAGGAUCCUUUAAAAAUUUUGAGCUCAUGUAGAAGGAGCUGGAAUGUGCAAAGUGACUCCUGAUGCUGGGGAGGGCUGCUGCCCUGAUAUUAAGAGAGGCUGAGGGGUCUAUCUGUGUGUGCACCAGGAUGGAUGAAAGCAUUUCCCAUCCACGCUUCCCUUUUCUGCCCUGCUAAUGACCUCAGCCCUGGCCUGAGGGACCAACAUCCCUUAGAAUGAGAGGUUAUUUAGCUUUGAUAUGAGUGCAACAUUGGGCAUCUCUGCAGAGAAAUUGCUUACUCUAAAAAUUUAGCUUCUUUCUUUUUCUUGUAAGUGGAAACAUAGGAAGAAAUGUGGUUUGGAAAAAAGAGUAUAUGGAAAAAACGAAGCCGUGCCAGGAAUGAGCUUUGGGUGGAGGAAAGAAGAUGGAUUUUGUGUUGGCUGGAAGAGAAGACGGUCAGGAUCUAUAGGAGAGAAACUUGGGUGCCCAACUUUGCUCAAGGUGAUGUGCGUUUCGACAGCGCACUUCUGCACAAGCUGUGAG
This 952-nucleotide long non-coding RNA is filed under the name Bos indicus x Bos taurus (hybrid cattle). RNAcentral's name for it is "lncRNA (ENSBIXG00000001188.1)". Lineage: Eukaryota; Metazoa; Chordata; Mammalia; Artiodactyla; Bovidae. The record is from RNAcentral.